UACGUAGGGUGCAAGCAUUAAUCGGAAUUAUUGGGCGUAAAGGGCGCGUAGGCGGAUUUGUAAGUCAGAUGUGAAAUUUCGGGGCUCAACCUCGGAGCUGCAUUUGAAACUGUGAAUCUAGAGGGUUGGCGGAGAAAACGGAAUUCCACGUGUAGCGGUGAAAUGCGUAGAUAUGUGGAAGAACACCUGUGGCGAAAGCGGUUUUCUAGCUUACACCUGACGCUGAGGCGCGAGAGCAAGGGGAG
RNAcentral lists this ribosomal RNA (245 nucleotides) under uncultured bacterium. RNAcentral's name for it is "partial 16S ribosomal RNA". It matches the Rfam family "Bacterial small subunit ribosomal RNA", at positions 524 to 768 of the family's 1533-position model. The record is from RNAcentral.